Molecule: ribosomal RNA, 460 nt
Filed under: uncultured bacterium
Lineage: Bacteria
Description: partial 16S ribosomal RNA
Rfam family: Bacterial small subunit ribosomal RNA
Source: RNAcentral
CCUACGGGAGGCAGCAGUGAGGAAUAUUGGUCAAUGGACGAGAGGCUGAACCAGCCAAGUCGCGUGAAGGAUGACUGCCCUAUGGGUUGUAAACUUCUUUUAUCAAGGAAUAAAACGAGGCACGUGUGCCUUUUCGCGAGUACUUGAUGAAUAAGGAUCGGCUAACUCCGUGCCAGCAGCCGCGGUAAUACGGAGGAUGCGAGCGUUAUCCGGAUUUAUUGGGUUUAAAGGGAGCGGAGAUGGGUUGUUAAGUCAGUUGGGAAAUUUAGCGGCCCAACCGUAAAAGUGCCAUUGAUACUGGCAGUCUUGAGUAAAGUUGAGGUAGGCGGAAUGCGUGGUGUAGCGGUGAAAUGCUUAGAUAUCACGAAGAACCCCGAUUGCGAAGGCAGCUUACUAACCUGUGACUGACAUUGAUGCACGAAAGUGUGGGUAUCAAACAGGAUUAGAUACCCUUGUAGUC